The sequence is a ribosomal RNA, 271 nucleotides long. It matches the Rfam family "Bacterial large subunit ribosomal RNA", at positions 2223 to 2493 of the family's 2925-position model.
UAACCCGCACCACUUAUCGUGGUGGGAGACAGUGUCAGGCGGGCAGUUUGACUGGGGCGGUCGCCUCCUAAAAGGUAACGGAGGCGCUCAAAGGUUCCCUCAGAAUGGUUGGAAAUCAUUCAUAGAGGGUAAAGGCAUAAGGGAGCUUGACUGCGAGACCUACAAGUCGAGCAGGGUCGAAAGACGGACUUAGUGAUCCGGUGGUUCCGCAUGGAAGGGCCAUCGCUCAACGGAUAAAAGCUACCCCGGGGAUAACAGGCUUAUCUCCCCC